AGAGUUUGAUCCUGGCUCAGAACGAACGUUGGCGGCGUGGAUUAGGCAUGCAAGUCGAACGAAUCCCAGCUUUGUAGCAAUACCGAGCUGGGGGAAGUGGCGAAAGGGGCAGUAAUGCGUGGGUAACCUACCUCGGGGACGUGGAUAGCCAUUCUAACGAGUGGGUAAUACGCGGCGAUUUGAUUGAGGGGCAUCCCUUGGUCAGGAAAUGAAUUUCGCCUCGCGAGGGGCUCACGUGAUAUUAGCUAGUUGGUAGGGUAACGGCCUACCAAGGCAAAGAUGUCUAGCGGGUGUGAGAGCACGACCCGCGCCACUGGCACUGAGACACUGGCCAGACACCUACGGGUGGCUGCAGUCGAGGAUCUUUGGCAAUGAGCGCAAGCUUGACCAAGCGACGCCGCGUGUGCGAUGAAGGCCUUCGGGUUGUAAA
Molecule: ribosomal RNA, 430 nt
Filed under: uncultured bacterium
Lineage: Bacteria
Description: bacterial SSU rRNA
Rfam family: Bacterial small subunit ribosomal RNA
Source: RNAcentral